UCUCUCCCUUUCACUUGGCCAAUGGAACUUAGGUUUUCAUUGGUCAUUCAUGUGGGGCAAAGAAAAUGUCCUUUAAAAGCUCAUAUACAAACUGUCUUGUAACCUGUCAGAGGAAACAAAA
This is a small nucleolar RNA of Perognathus longimembris pacificus (Pacific pocket mouse), 121 nucleotides long. RefSeq annotates it as small nucleolar RNA SNORA27. The transcript has a single exon. NCBI's taxonomy places the organism in Eukaryota, Metazoa, Chordata, Mammalia, Rodentia, Heteromyidae. The record is from RefSeq and is a predicted model, not a curated record.